GGCCCAGUGGCGCAGUGGUUAACGCGCCGUGCUUGUAUGUACAUUUACAGGAACACGGAGACCGGGGGUUCGACUCCCCCCUAGGCCC
Penicillium italicum is the source of this 88-nucleotide transfer RNA. It matches the Rfam family "tRNA". Rfam says of the family: Transfer RNA (tRNA) molecules are approximately 80 nucleotides in length. Their secondary structure includes four short double-helical elements and three loops (D, anti-codon, and T loops). The record is from Rfam. NCBI's taxonomy places the organism in Eukaryota, Fungi, Ascomycota, Eurotiomycetes, Eurotiales, Aspergillaceae.